AGCUCCAAUAGCGUAUAUUAAAGUUGUUGCGGUUAAAAAGCUCGUAGUUGGAUUUCUGCCAAAGUCGACCGGUCCAUCUUUCAUUAGGUGCGUAUCAGGUAUUGAUUGAGGCAUAUACUGGAGUUGCAUUGCUCUUCACUGAGCUUGUUGUUCCAGUCUUUUACUUUGAGGAAAUUAGAGUGUUUCAAGCAGGCUAUUGCCUUGAAUACAUUAGCAUGGAAUAAUAAUAUAUGACUUCGGCUCUAUUUUGUUGGUUUCUAGAACUGAAGUAAUGAUUAAUAGGAACAGUCGGGGGCAUUCGUACUUAACAGUCAGAGGUGAAAUUCUUGGAUUUGUUAAAGACGAACUACUGCGAAAGCAUUUGCCAAGGAUGUUUUCAUCG
This 382-nucleotide ribosomal RNA is filed under the name Perkinsus sp. RNAcentral describes it as "partial small subunit ribosomal RNA". It matches the Rfam family "Eukaryotic small subunit ribosomal RNA", at positions 587 to 975 of the family's 1831-position model. Lineage: Eukaryota; Perkinsozoa; Perkinsida; Perkinsidae. The record is from RNAcentral.